AUACGGAGGGUGCGAGCGUUAAUCGGAAUUACUGGGCGUAAAGCGCGCGCAGGCGGCUAUUUAAGUUGGAGGUGAAAGCCUACGGCUCAACCGUAGAACUGCAUCCAAAACUAUUUAGCUAGAGUGUGAGAGAGGAAGAUGGAAUUAGUUGUGUAGGGGUAAAAUCCGUAGAGAUAACUAGGAAUACCAAAAGCGAAGGCAAUCUUCUGGAACACUACUGACGCUGAGGCGCGAAAGCGUGGGGAGCAAACAGAAUUAGAUACCCUAGUAGUCC
RNAcentral lists this ribosomal RNA (274 nucleotides) under uncultured bacterium. Its description in RNAcentral is "partial 16S ribosomal RNA". It matches the Rfam family "Bacterial small subunit ribosomal RNA", at positions 523 to 796 of the family's 1533-position model. The record is from RNAcentral.